GACGAACGCUGGCGGCGUGCCUAAUACAUGCAAGUCGAGCGGACUUGAUGAGAAGCUUGCUUCUCUGAAAGUUAGCGGCGGACGGGUGAGUAACACGUAGGCAACCUGCCUGUAAGACUGGGAUAACUACCGGAAACGGUAGCUAAUACCGGAUAGCUGGUUUUCUCGCAUGAGAGAAUCAUGAAAGACGGAGUAAUCUGUCACUUACGGAUGGGCCUGCGGCGCAUUAGCUAGUUGGUGAGGUAACGGCUCACCAAGGCGACGAUGCGUAGCCGACCUGAGAGGGUGAAUGGCCACACUGGGACUGAGACACGGCCCAGACUCCUACGGGUGGCUG
This 337-nucleotide ribosomal RNA is filed under the name uncultured Bacillota bacterium. RNAcentral's name for it is "bacterial SSU rRNA". It matches the Rfam family "Bacterial small subunit ribosomal RNA", at positions 28 to 351 of the family's 1533-position model. Lineage: Bacteria; Bacillati; Bacillota. The record is from RNAcentral.